Molecule: long non-coding RNA, 699 nt
Filed under: Calidris pugnax (ruff)
Lineage: Eukaryota; Metazoa; Chordata; Aves; Charadriiformes; Scolopacidae
Description: lncRNA (ENSCPUG00000013045.1)
Source: RNAcentral
AUGGGGUCAGGGCACCCUCAGGAGCCCCCCAAACCCAGGUGCACCCCAUUUUGGAUGGUCUCCAUGACCACAUAUGGGGUCAGGGCCCCCUCAGGAGCCCCCCAAACCCAGGUGCACCCCAUUUUGGAGGUUCUCCAUGGUCCCAUAACCAGGAUGAGGCACCCUUCAGACCUCCCCCAGACCCAGGUGCACCCCAUUUUGGAGGUUCUCCAUGGUCCCAUAACCAGGAUGAGGCACCCUUCAGACCUCCCCCAGACCCAGGUGCACCCCAUUUUGGUGGGUCUCCAUGACCAUGCAUGGAAUCAGGGCACCCUUGGGACCCCUCAAAACCCAGGUGCACCCCGUUUUGGAGGUUCUCCAUGGCCAGGGGGACACUCACGGCCUCCAAGGUGCUGGAGCUGCCCCACUCGGCCGGGGCGAAGGCGUCCUCCUCGCCCCGCGCUGGCUCCGGCCCCUCGUCCUCGUACUCCGUGAGGUAGUCAGACUCCUCUGGGAUGGGGUGGGGGGGACACAGUCAGGCCCCAUCUAUGGGUCUGGCCCCAUCUAUGGGUCUGGCCCCACACGAUGGGACCCCCAAACACCACCACCCCCAAAGCUCACCGUCCCCGUAGCCAUCAGACAAGUAGGGCUUGGCGGGCUCGAUGCGGGACACGAUCUCGGCCAGGUCGGUGAAGCCGGCGCUGGGACACGUGAGGACCU